GGUUAAGCGACUAAGCGUACACGGUGGAUGCCCUGGCAGUCAGAGGCGAUGAAGGACGUGCUAAUCUGCGAUAAGCGUCGGUAAGGUGAUAUGAACCGUUAUAACCGGCGAUUUCCGAAUGGGGAAACCCAGUGUGAUUCGUCACACUAUCAUUAACUGAAUCCAUAGGUUAAUGAGGCGAACCGGGGGAACUGAAACAUCUAAGUACCCCGAGGAAAAGAAAUCAACCGAGAUUCCCCAGUAGCGGCGAGCGAACGGGGAGGAGCCCAGAGCCUGAAUCAGUGUGUGUGUUAGUGGAAGCGUCUGGAAAGGCGCGCGAUACAGGGUGACAGCCCCGUACACAAAAAUGCACAUGCUGUGAGCUCGAUGAGUAGGGCGGGACACGUGGUAUCCUGUCUGAAUAUGGGGGGACCAUCCUCCAAGGCUAAAUACUCCUGACUGACCGAUAGUGAACCAGUACCGUGAGGGAAAGGCGAAAAGAACCCCGGCGAGGGGAGUGAAAAAGAACCUGAAACCGUGUACGUACAAGCAGUGGGAGCACAGAGCAAUCUGUGUGACUGCGUACCUUUUGUAUAAUGGGUCAGCGACUUAUAUUCUGUAGCAAGGUUAACCGAAUAGGGGAGCCGAAGGGAAACCGAGUCUUAACUGGGCGUUAAGUUGCAGGGUAUAGACCCGAAACCCGGUGAUCUAGCCAUGGGCAGGUUGAAGGUUGGGUAACACUAACUGGAGGACCGAACCGACUAAUGUUGAAAAAUUAGCGGAUGACUUGUGGCUGGGGGUGAAAGGCCAAUCAAACCGGGAGAUAGCUGGUUCUCCCCGAAAGCUAUUUAGGUAGCGCCUCGUGAAUUCAUCUCCGGGGGUAGAGCACUGUUUCGGCAAGGGGGUCAUCCCGACUUACCAACCCGAUGCAAACUGCGAAUACCGGAGAAUGUUAUCACGGGAGACACACGGCGGGUGCUAACGUCCGUCGUGAAGAGGGAAACAACCCAGACCGCCAGCUAAGGUCCCAAAGUCAUGGUUAAGUGGGAAACGAUGUGGGAAGGCCCAGACAGCCAGGAUGUUGGCUUAGAAGCAGCCAUCAUUUAAAGAAAGCGUAAUAGCUCACUGGUCGAGUCGGCCUGCGCGGAAGAUGUAACGGGGCUAAACCAUGCACCGAAGCUGCGGCAGCGACACUGUGUGUUGUUGGGUAGGGGAGCGUUCUGUAAGCCUGUGAAGGUGUGCUGUGAGGCAUGCUGGAGGUAUCAGAAGUGCGAAUGCUGACAUAAGUAACGAUAAAGCGGGUGAAAAGCCCGCUCGCCGGAAGACCAAGGGUUCCUGUCCAACGUUAAUCGGGGCAGGGUGAGUCGACCCCUAAGGCGAGGCCGAAAGGCGUAGUCGAUGGGAAACAGGUUAAUAUUCCUGUACUUGGUGUUACUGCGAAGGGGGGACGGAGAAGGCUAUGUUGGCCGGGCGACGGUUGUCCCGGUUUAAGCGUGUAGGCUGGUUUUCCAGGCAAAUCCGGAAAAUCAAGGCUGAGGCGUGAUGACGAGGCACUACGGUGCUGAAGCAACAAAUGCCCUGCUUCCAGGAAAAGCCUCUAAGCAUCAGGUAACAUCAAAUCGUACCCCAAACCGACACAGGUGGUCAGGUAGAGAAUACCAAGGCGCUUGAGAGAACUCGGGUGAAGGAACUAGGCAAAAUGGUGCCGUAACUUCGGGAGAAGGCACGCUGAUAUGUAGGUGAAGUCCCUCGCGGAUGGAGCUGAAAUCAGUCGAAGAUACCAGCUGGCUGCAACUGUUUAUUAAAAACACAGCACUGUGCAAACACGAAAGUGGACGUAUACGGUGUGACGCCUGCCCGGUGCCGGAAGGUUAAUUGAUGGGGUCAGCGCAAGCGAAGCUCUUGAUCGAAGCCCCGGUAAACGGCGGCCGUAACUAUAACGGUCCUAAGGUAGCGAAAUUCCUUGUCGGGUAAGUUCCGACCUGCACGAAUGGCGUAAUGAUGGCCAGGCUGUCUCCACCCGAGACUCAGUGAAAUUGAACUCGCUGUGAAGAUGCAGUGUACCCGCGGCAAGACGGAAAGACCCCGUGAACCUUUACUAUAGCUUGACACUGAACAUUGAGCCUUGAUGUGUAGGAUAGGUGGGAGGCUUUGAAGUGUGGACGCCAGUCUGCAUGGAGCCGACCUUGAAAUACCACCCUUUAAUGUUUGAUGUUCUAACGUGGACCCGUGAUCCGGGUUGCGGACAGUGUCUGGUGGGUAGUUUGACUGGGGCGGUCUCCUCCUAAAGAGUAACGGAGGAGCACGAAGGUUGGCUAAUCUCGGUCGGACAUCAGGAGGUUAGUGCAAUGGCAUAAGCCAGCUUGACUGCGAGCGUGACGGCGCGAGCAGGUGCGAAAGCAGGUCAUAGUGAUCCGGUGGUUCUGAAUGGAAGGGCCAUCGCUCAACGGAUAAAAGGUACUCCGGGGAUAACAGGCUGAUACCGCCCAAGAGUUCAUAUCGACGGCGGUGUUUGGCACCUCGAUGUCGGCUCAUCACAUCCUGGGGCUGAAGUAGGUCCCAAGGGUAUGGCUGUUCGCCAUUUAAAGUGGUACGCGAGCUGGGUUUAGAACGUCGUGAGACAGUUCGGUCCCUAUCUGCCGUGGGCGCUGGAGAACUGAGGGGGGCUGCUCCUAGUACGAGAGGACCGGAGUGGACGCAUCACUGGUGUUCGGGUUGUCAUGCCAAUGGCACUGCCCGGUAGCUAAAUGCGGAAGAGAUAAGUGCUGAAAGCAUCUAAGCACGAAACUUGCCCCGAGAUGAGUUCUCCCUGACCCUUUAAGGGUCCUGAAGGAACGUUGAAGACGACGACGUUGAUAGGCCGGGUGUGUAAGCGCAGCGAUGCGUUGAGCUAACCGGUACUAAUGAACCGUGAGGCUUAACCUU
RNAcentral lists this ribosomal RNA (2904 nucleotides) under Escherichia coli. RNAcentral's name for it is "23S ribosomal RNA". It matches the Rfam family "Bacterial large subunit ribosomal RNA". The record is from RNAcentral. Lineage: Bacteria; Pseudomonadati; Pseudomonadota; Gammaproteobacteria; Enterobacterales; Enterobacteriaceae.